Oncorhynchus tshawytscha (Chinook salmon) is the source of this 552-nucleotide long non-coding RNA. RefSeq lists it as uncharacterized. The record is from RefSeq and is a predicted model, not a curated record. The transcript is spliced from 3 exons. NCBI's taxonomy places the organism in Eukaryota, Metazoa, Chordata, Actinopteri, Salmoniformes, Salmonidae.
CAGUCAGUCAGUCCCUCUGUGUUCCUGCCAGGACAGGACAGAAGGACAGGACAAGCAUUUCGCUACACCAGCAAUAACAUCUGCUAAUAUGUAACCCAGAGGAGAGUAUUAUGAUCAGGCAGGUCUGUGGACGGCCCUGGACAGCCUGCGGGUCCUUCUCUCCUGCCUCUCAUGUUUCUCUCCUGUGUCACAAAGCUGAUUUCCAUGCUCCUGUGGCCGCUUCCGAUUCUGACUGACACCAUUGUGAUUUUUAAAAGGCUGGAGACGCUGCACCAGUUGCCACGGCAUCACUGAGGGGUCAAACACAGUUCAGGUGUCUUACAGGUUUGAGGACUCCUGGGGUGUGUGAUGCAGACCGUGGACAGGCUGAGCCAGCAGCAAUUGUAUAAUACUGACAUAAAAUGAGGAUGUGGAUUAAAUUGUAAAAAAAAAAAAAAAAUGGGUCCGGGUUAAAUUCUGUUUAUCAUUCAAUGCCUGUUCUGAUGUUUACACAACCAUGUGCAAUUACAAGAUCAGCAAACAAUGGAAAAUAAAAUAAACAAUUACAAUGUA